This 253-nucleotide ribosomal RNA is filed under the name uncultured bacterium. RNAcentral's name for it is "partial 16S ribosomal RNA". It matches the Rfam family "Bacterial small subunit ribosomal RNA", at positions 524 to 776 of the family's 1533-position model. The record is from RNAcentral.
UACGUAGGGUGCAAGCGUUGUCCGGAAUUAUUGGGCGUAAAGGGCUCGUAGGCGGUUUGUCGCGUCGGGAGUGAAAACUCAGGGCUUAACCCUGAGCCUGCUUCCGAUACGGGCAGACUAGGGGUAUGCAGGGGAGAAUGGAAUUCCUGGUGUAGCGGUGAAAUGCGCAGAUAUCAGGAGGAACACCGGUGGCGAAGGCGGUUCUCUGGGCAUUACCUGACGCUGAGGAGCGAAAGUGUGGGGAGCGAACAGG